GAGAGAGAGAGAGAGAGAAAAAUGGAGCCAAGAGAACCCCGAUGGCAACGGCAACCAGACCACAAACCCCACAAAACCCAACAGAUUUUCUCUGGCGCCCGGCACGGGCGGACGGACAGACAGAGGGAUGGCGGGACAGAGAGCAGGGAGAGCCACCGGCCUCGAAGCGCUGCCGACGCUUCUUGAACUUGUACAAAUCGUUCACUCCGACAGCGAGAGCCCCGGCCCCGUUUGCUUGCUUGCACCUCCAUCCCCACGCCCCCAAACCCACAGACCAAACCCGUGAGUGAGCGACUUCUUCCUUCUUCCUUUGGACCUUUUUGCUUUGGUUUCGUGGCUGCUCUUUGCUUCGGGCCCUUGGUUGGGGUGUUGGGCUGGGGUCGAUGUAGCUCUUCCCUUUGUUUCUCUCCGUUUUGGUUUCUUUGAUAUCCAAGGAUAAAAUCAGCUCCGGGCUCCCGGGGCAAGUUUGGGACCUUGGGUGUCCCCGUUGUCACCCCCCCGGUGCCGGGGGUGGCUCCAGCUGGGAGCAGAGAGAGACCCUGCCCCGAUUUUAUCCUUGGUGGUUCUUGUGGAGCAGUGUCCAUGCGGGAGCAGAGCUGUCCUCGUGCAGUCAGUGUGUGAAAGGGGGUGAAAGCCCAGGGUGGGACCCCCGGAGAAGAGCGGGAGCCCCCACAGCUCCCUGGUCCCACCCCAGCGGGAGGGGGGAGGGCUGAGGUUUAUUUUGGGGGGUCAAAUCCAGAGGAAAAGACCCUGAUUUUUUUUAUUUUUCCUAAAUUUUCUGAUUGGAAAUUCCAAUUUUAACCAUCUAUUGAGAUGUUCAGUGCAGGAGGCAGCGCCCCUGGGGCUGGGGCUGCUUCCUUGGGACCCCCUGGAGCAGGGCUGGGGUCUUUCUGCCCCCCUUCCCCUUCCCAGGGCAGGGAUGAGCUUGGAAAGGGCUGAUUUUCCUCUUGGCUCUGAGAGCCCCAACCAACAGCGGCCAAAACAACCGGAUUUGGGAUCUGGGGAGUUCAGGGAUCCCCACAGAGGCUUGGGGGGGGGGUUGGCUCAUCCUUCCUCCUUGCCCUUCCUCCUGCCUCUUCCACCAUCCCUUCCAGAACAAAACCAAACACCUUUCCCAACCUCUCCAGCACAGCCCCAGCUUGGCCCCCCCAGUCAGGGGCUGCCCCCCACGGCAUCAUCAGGACACCCCAGCCUUGGGAUGAGAAUUCCUGGGAUCCCACAUCCCGCUCUGGACAACCAGGGGGUUGCAGGAGCUGCCCUUGGGUGGGCACCUCCCGUGGAUUUGGGGUGGUCUGGAGGAGGGGAGCCGUUUGGGAAGGGGGGAGAACCUCACCUGGGAGGUCACCCCAUGGAUUUGGGGUGGUCUGGAGGACCAGGGGUCCCUUCAGGAAGGAAUGGAAGUCCUCGGGGUGGGAAACCUCACCUGGGAGGUGCAGGAAGAAUUUUACCACCUCUUCCACGGGUCUGGAGGUGUCACCUCCCCUGAACCCUGCCAGCACCUGGCACUGGGUCACCUGUGGGGAGUGAGGUGAGCACAGGGGGCCCAGCUCAGGUGGGAGCCAGGGAU
This is a long non-coding RNA of Parus major (Great Tit), 1567 nucleotides long. NCBI's taxonomy places the organism in Eukaryota, Metazoa, Chordata, Aves, Passeriformes, Paridae. The record is from Ensembl.